RNAcentral lists this long non-coding RNA (846 nucleotides) under Fukomys damarensis (Damara mole-rat). RNAcentral describes it as "lncRNA (ENSFDAG00000032865.1)". The record is from RNAcentral. Lineage: Eukaryota; Metazoa; Chordata; Mammalia; Rodentia; Bathyergidae.
GUACAGAGGAGUUGUACAUGACUUUCCUGAUCUGUGGAAAACUGUUCUUCUUUCUUAGAUAAUGAUGUUGCGGAUGAUCUUCAAUCAGACAUCGGUUGAACACUGCAAGACACAGACAGAAAAGCAGAAAGAAUGCCAUUUCUUCUUGAUAGCUGUUCGUCUGGCUUCACUGAACCAGAUCUUGGAUCCCUGGGUUUAUCUGCUGCUAAGAAAGAUCCUUCUUCGAAAGUUCUGCCAGGAGUAACUUUGGGCAAACUAAAAACCUCUCUUGGUGCCAAGAUCACAUCGCUAGAAGUUCUACUCUCUUUUUGUGAAAGAAAAGAAAAAUCACAAAGCACUCACCUCCCAACCUCUUCUUUCACUUCCUCCUCCAGUGCCCACCCCGAAGGUAACCCCUCUCCGGAUGUUGGUAUGUUUUGUUUCCAUGCAUGUUUUAUACUUUUACUCUGUGUGUAUUCGCCCAUUAAGGUUAUGCUCUGUUUUGUGAGUUUAAAAUAUUUGCAUAUGUUUUUAUAUAUCUGAUUGGUUACUUUUUUCUUUACUUGAAAUUAUCUAAGAUUUACUCAUAUUGAAUUAUGAAGUUCUAAAUUGUUCAUUUUAACUGCUAUCGAGUAUUCCAUAAUUUCAACAAAGCACGAUUUUUUUGGUACAGUUCUCUGCUAUGGGGAAAUGAUUUCUAUUCUGACCAUAAAAAGCAGAACUGCAAAAUAAUCACCAGUGUAUAUGUUUGUAUAUGUCCAUCUGCAUGAAUUUCUCUAAAAUAAACAGCUAGGAAUGAAAAAUAAUGUGCCAAGGAGUACAAGCAUCUUAAUAUGCCCACAUAAAAUCGUGUGUAUUGAUACCAAC